GCGCAUCCCAUACCAUGAACUCCAACAAGAAAACCCGCUGAACUUAACCA
This 50-nucleotide ribosomal RNA is filed under the name Durusdinium sp. D1. RNAcentral's name for it is "partial 28S ribosomal RNA". Lineage: Eukaryota; Dinophyceae; Suessiales; Symbiodiniaceae. The record is from RNAcentral.